Molecule: ribosomal RNA, 440 nt
Filed under: uncultured bacterium
Lineage: Bacteria
Description: partial 16S ribosomal RNA
Rfam family: Bacterial small subunit ribosomal RNA
Source: RNAcentral
CCUACGGGGGACAGCAGUGGGGAAUAUUGCACAAUGGGCGAAACCCUGACGCAGCGACGCCGCGUGAGUGAGGAAGUAUUUCGGUAUGUAAAGCUCUAUUAUCAGGGAAGAAAAUGACGGUACCUGACUAAGAAUCACCGGCUAACUACGUGCCAGCAGCCGCGGUAAUACGUAGGGGGCAAGCGUUAUCCGGAUUGACUGGGUGUAAAGGGAGCGUAGGCGGGUAAGCAAGUCAGAAGUGAAAACCCAGGGCUCAACCUUGGGACUGCUUUUGAAACUGAGUAGCUAGAGUGCAGGAGAGGUAAGCGGAAUUCCUAGUGUAGCGGUGAAAUGCGUAGAUAUUAGGAGGAACACCAGUGGCGAAGGCGGCUUACUGGACUGUAACUGACGUUGAGGCUCGAAAGCGUGGGGAGCAAACAGGAUUAGAUACCCGGGUAGUC